Molecule: long non-coding RNA, 5115 nt
Organism: Rattus norvegicus (Norway rat)
Lineage: Eukaryota; Metazoa; Chordata; Mammalia; Rodentia; Muridae
Source: Ensembl
CAUCACCACACAAAUCAAAGGCUUCUCUCUGGCUUCAAAAGGAACAGGAACAGGAUACUUUGUGUUGGGAGUUCUGCACUGAGCGGGAACUAUGCUGUGCCUGUUUGAGUGAGUUGUUCACUGGGUAUCCUGGCUUCGUGCCCUGCCUGACAGCUGCAGGGGUUCUGUAAGAAAUCUGGGGGAGAAUUUCCUCUGCAGCCAUGACUGAGAACCCAGGAUCAAGAGCUUUGCAGACAGAACCCCCCCUCACUCCACCCCCCGACUAGCCCAUCGCUUAUUAGGCUCAAUAAACAACAGGCAAAAGCCGGACAGCUGGCCCUUUGGCCCUGGAUAGGGGGAAAAAAAGCAUUUCGCUGGGAUCUAGCUAGCUGGCUCCUUUUACUAAUUGAGAGCAACCGCACGGCACUUAAAAAUAAGUUGUUGUUUUAAAGCUAGAGUAUUUCAAAUAAACAGCAACCUUCAGAAAACAACAACGUUCAGAAUGAUACCUAUGGCCCCAGAUCAGUUAAUGUUAGGCUGACCCACUAGGAAGCCCACAGAUAAGGCACAGAAGCCCAUCUCACUCAAGCCCACAGUCAUGUGGAAGGAAAUGACUGCACGGAUGAUGGUGGCCACCAACAGGCCCUGUAGGGUCUUUAAGUGAACACAGGACUCACAGAUCAGCUAGACUGGAUGGCUGACUAGCUCCAUGCCUAUUUCUGCCUUCCCAGUAUUAGGAUUGCAGACCCACGGUCGUCUGCCCGACACUGUGUCUGGGUGCCAGACAUCCAAAAUCAGGUCUUCAUGCCUGUGCAGCAAACACUGUACUGACUGAGCCGUCUCCCUGGGCCCGGCAAGCAAUUGUGGAGUCGUUCUACAUGUUUAGUGCAAGAAGCAGUGUGAAUAGAAACGGAUCCUGCCCAAGUGAACCUGACCCCAUGGCAGAGAUCCGUGACUUUACACCAGAGUAAACACCCUCUUAUACUACAUUUCCCAGUUUCCCUUGCAGUGACAGCCCCAGUCUGUGGAAAGCAUGAUGGUGACUGGGCCUGGCCCAUAGGAACCUCCUUCCUCUGUCAUGUUUUUGUGUGAUGAGAUUACCAAUACAACCUUGGACGCCACCAGUGGAAACAGCCAAGUUGCUUCCUCUGAUGAGAAGCACAUGGGUUUGGCUGUUCCAUGAUCAAGAGUCAAAACUAAAUUGCGUUUGAGAAUUUUCACAUUUAUGAAUUCAUUGUUUUGAACUGCUAAGUAUAGCUUUAAAAAUUCCGCCAUGUGAAUGCCCACCUGGGAUUCUUUUGUUCUUACUGAAAGAAUUAAACGUAAAGUUUGCUUCUGAUUAAACUGAACUGCUUUUUUGGUAACAACUUUAAAAACUGGGAGGCUUUGGAUGAAGAGCGUUCCUCCGCUGACUGAAUGACAGAAAGCGGCAAUGUCACUUGCCACACACUGUCCACAAAAGGGUCAUUCAACCCUAAUCUGAUCUGUAGAGAGAACGUCUGCUAUACUGUACGGAGGCAACGCCUGUCAGUUAAAAAGCCUUUGGCCUAUGGCUUACGCAGGAAGUAGAGGUGGAGACAGGCACUGGAGCUCAACCUGGGAAGAAGUGAGGAGACAGAUGCACGGCCCCUGAGCACAGUACCCGGGGAGGAAUGGUUUGUCUCAAAGAUUAUCCCAAGAUAGCAGGCUACAGAUCUAAGAGAGUGGAUCUUGUUGUUGAAAUUCCAGGCACUAUGGUAAGCUUUGGGGGGUUGGGGGGGAUAUGCCUGGCAUUUCCCAAAGCCCACAACACAGGCCGCUGCCAAUCCUAUCCUCCCACUGGUACAACUGACUUUGGCAUCCGAACUUCAAAUUUGAGCUGCAGCCACUAUAGCAAGUCUGAUUGAAGGCUGCAUAUGUUAAGGAGACACGUUUGUGUUGCACAUCGUUAAUACCCAGAAACAGAAUAUCUUGCAAUCUCAGAAGAUUGCAAGGAAACCACUCACUGAAGUGCGCUUUGGAUAGUAAAAAUUUAAAAUAAUAACCAAAAUCUCCACCACACGAAAGAUAGUCUCUGUAAAUCACACGUUAAACCCCAAAGAGGUUGCUGUGGUACGGUUUGCCUGCGACGUGAAGGUAGGAACGCUGCCAGGUAAAAGCCAGCCGGGGCUACACAUAGAAAGACUCUGUCUCAUAAUACCAGCCAGGCAUGGUGGUACAUACUUGCAAUCUUAGCACUCAAGAGGUGGAGGCAGGAGGAUUGCUGCAAGUUUGAAGCCUGGGUUAUAUUGUAAAACCCUGUCUCAAACAAAACAAAACAAAACGAACUAAACUAAACUAAACCAAACCAAACCAAACUAAACUGGAACAAAACCAAAACAAAUCACAACAAAAAUCAAGGGCAGAGGAUUUGGUUCAGUGGCAAGGUGCGUGUCUGUCGUGCACAGGGUUCUGGGUUCAAUCCCGAGCCCUACAAAAGCAUAAGCAACAACGACAAGUCCAAAUGAAUUGUACGAUAUCACUGUCUUCUCUAAGAUUCGUAUGCAUGUCCAUCCUGGAAGAAACAAGAUGGUCACUGAGGCUAGAGAUGUGAAGAAGCCAUUCAGUCAGCAAGGGAAACCUGUCAUCUGACUAUGUUCCUGCCUAUGCUGCCACCGUGUUCAAGAUAGAUGAGAGCUGCCCAAACGGGGGAGAAUUCACACACAAAGCAAGAUAAUGCUGCUAAUCACAUAGCCCUGGGAAGCAAAUGAACUACCAUAGAACCCAAGAACAUUAAAGACAAGAAUCAACUACUGGAUAACGUACAGGAAGUUGUAGUUAACUAAUCACCAAGUCUGGUGGGAAGCACGGUGAUCCUGAUUUUUGAUAAGAAGCUUUGACCCAGGCUUAUCUGUUUAUCUGUCUAAAAAAACAAAAAAACAAAAAAACAAAAAACAAACAAACAAAAAAAACCAGCCUUGUGGGUGAAUAACUUUACCGGCCAAGUAAUGAUUAAAGGCAUUCUAGAACUGAGAGAAACUCUAGGAAAUUUAAUAAUAAUAAAAAAAAAAAGGUUUCAUGUGAGGCAGAACUCAUUCAACCUACUGACUUAUAGAUAGCAAGUCAUCCAUUCAAAUAGUUAAAACUUCAUAAGGCUCCAAAAGAAACUCUGCACACAUGUAAUAGCUAAUUCUGCUUAACAACAUUUGAAAUAUGACCCUCGUCAGAGAUUAGAAGCAGUCUAAUUAGAGCUGAGUGUUGAUAGGCUUAAAGUCGAGCACCGCGGUUUGUAAACGGGUCUUUUUGGACUGCAAAGUCAGGGUCCUGUUGUUUGGAAAUAAUAAAGUUAAGAUAGACGCAUCUCAAAAAUCCUGUUUCUAAAACGCUAGGCCUGGGUUGUACAUUGAGCCUUUAUCUUUGUCAAAAAAAAAAAAAAAAAAAAAAAGAGAGAGAGAGAGAGAGAGAGAGAGAGAGAGAGAGAGACAGAUACUGCUAUAAUUACCAACAGCAAGGGUUUUGAUAUCUAUGAUUUUAGAGAACAAUGUUUCUGAGUGAAUAGGAAAGCAGCAGCCACUCAGAGAAGGGAGUGAUUAUGACAUAUACAGCUGCAGUAUGUCCUCAGAAGACACCGCAUCCUGUUAACUCCGCAGCUGGCUUUAUCCGUGCCUAUUACCCCAGCCUGAUGAGCAGCUGGGCAGAUUUUUUACCUUCUUGGUUUGAGCUAAAUUUCACUUUCCCAUGGCAAUCCGAAAUGCCAAACGCUGUAUGAAGUGUCUGGCAGACAUUUUACUUAGUCUCUGCAGCGAUCCUUUGAAGCAAGGGCUAGCCUCCUGUUUUACAGACGAGGACAGCGAGCGAGGCUCGGGGAUUUUGAGAUGGUUAACACAAGGUCGCAGAGGAACCCCCCGGAGCAAUCUCAGAUCUGGGCCAGGCUUAUUCUAGUCCUUCCUUUGUCCUCCUUUUCUCCUUUUCCUCUUCUUUAAAGCAUCUCUUCUCCCCUUUUUUUGAAAAUUUGCUAUGUAUCCCAGCUGGCCUCACACUUGGUAUAUUUCUCUCGCUGCAGCUUCUCAAGGGAUGGGUUAUAUAGGUGUUAGCGACCAUGCCCGCCUCUAGCCUACUCUUCUUAACAUCUAUCCUUCAACCCUACUCAAUUUAAAAUAGAUAAAACCAUGGCAGUUUGUAGGGAGGUAGAAGGCUCAUGUCCUAUAGGAUCACAGUGUGGGGACAGUUUUCUGCAGGUCAGUUUGGCAAACAAUGUACAUUCUAACUUAGCAAUUAAUCUAAGGAUUUAAGAAAAUAAUCUCCAAGCUGCAUGGAGGGCCGUGGUUAUAGAAUUAUUAAAAAAAAAUAAACACAAAAUCCCUGAAACACUGUAAACAAACUUGUAUAAUACUGUGUAAAGGCAUCUAACCAUUAAUGAUGAAAUUAUAUUGUUCAGCAAAAGAUACCAGAGUACCAAUAAACAUAGUGUAAUUUUAUUUUUGUACAUAAAAUUGAAUAAUAAGAGUUGGGAAUCUAGCGCAGUCAGUAGAUUGCUUGCCUUAUACACACGAGGCUCUGGCUUCCUUCCCAGCAUAUAGGGGGAGGGUGCAAAAGUACCACAACAAAAUUGAGUAUAUGUACAAAUCUACAUAUGUAUACAAUGUGUGGAAAGGUAUUCACUAUAAUUUUAUCUGGCUCACCAGUUGUUUUUUUCUUCAUUUCAUGUAUAUGUGUAGUGUGUGCACAGAUAUAAGUAUUAGGGCAUGCCUGUGAAUGCACACAUGGAUGCUUGAAUAACAGUCAGGUGUUUUCCUAUAUCACUGUCUCGACAAAAGACAGGGUCUCUCACUGACCCAGAACCUCACCAUUAGACUGGUUAGGCAGUGAGCUCCUGGGAUCUGCUGGUCUCUGCCCCCCAUUGUUGAAACUUAGGCAUACAUGUUUACAUGUGUUUCUGUUGUUGUUUGCUUUUGUUUGGAAUGGGUGUUGGGGACUCAAACUCAGGUUUGCAAACUCAAAAAGCAAAUGUUCUUACCCACUUAACUUUUUCCCUGUCCUCUUUAUUUUUUUAAAAAACUCUCCUUAUUUAUAUAUGAGUCAGUAUCAUUGUUAUAAAACAAAACUAUUUGAAAAAGCCAACAGUUAAGUCAGCUCUUGCCUUAACAACUAAAGUGCUUGAUGUAUACUAGCCAUGUG